RNAcentral lists this long non-coding RNA (1015 nucleotides) under Strigops habroptila (Kakapo). RNAcentral's name for it is "lncRNA (ENSSHBG00005018044.1)". The record is from RNAcentral. Lineage: Eukaryota; Metazoa; Chordata; Aves; Psittaciformes; Psittacidae.
CUUCUUUUUUUGUUGUUUUUUUUUUUUCCUUUUUUGGAUUGAUCGUUUUCUGAAAAACAUCAGCACAGCACAGGACAGUACUACCCACCCUAAAUGUGUCGCUAUAUACAUUCUACAUAAGCUCUAUAGCAAUCACAUGUAAACAUCAUCAUUGUGAGGAAAUACUAGGACAGAAAAAGGCAAAGCUACAAUGAGGCAAUUGCCAAUAGCAGAUGCUCAGUCUUGGCCAGAGCUUCUCGUGUUUGCUAAGGUGGGAUGAGGAACGGGGAGAGCUUGUGGCAGGAGAGACACCAAACCUUGCUGCUGAGACUGAAAUGGCACAAGGGCUGUUCCCUGGCAGCGGUGGUCACCGGCAGCAGGCUGGGGACCUGCAGUUCAAACCCUGCAGUGGCCCGUGGGCCCUUGCACUGCUGGGCUGGUUGUCAGAACCUUGGCUUCCCGAAAGCGGGGAGGAAUAGCCAGGUAACUGUGCUGGUAUCGGCGCUGCCGGCGCUCCUGCUCCCACCAGAGACCAGCUGCACGCACGGCCCCAGAGCUCAGGGCCUCCUCAGCAGGGCUCAGGCUCUUGGCAUCACGUCUUGUGCAAUUUCAGAGGCUUUGGUCGUACUCCCUGCAAGACGAAACAGUUCCCACAGCAGGGAAAUAAGAAUAAAACCCCUAAGUCACGGGGAAGGGAGACCCCAGGAGACUCUAAUCUAACUAUUGGCAGAGUUAAGGCUAUAAUAUUCUAUCUACAUAGGAUGGCUGAAUCCCUAGUGGUCUCUGGGUCUGAAAAAUCAAUGGAGACGAUGGCGAUGGCUCGAGGAGCAGCCAGGUUCCCACUCCCUCAGGAAAAGUGCCUCUGGCCAGCUUGCGGUGGGGUUUGCUCCAGCCACAGGCAGGCUCUUUCCAUCUCCCACCUCACCUGGAGAUGGAGGGCAAGUCUGCAAGCAAAUUUCAGGGGGGCUGCUGCUUCAGCAUGCCUUCAGUGCAGUGCUGCUGGGCAGCCCCGAGCACCCCCGGCCAGGGGCAGAGC